This 339-nucleotide ribosomal RNA is filed under the name Trabeculus hexakon. RNAcentral's name for it is "partial 12S ribosomal RNA". Lineage: Eukaryota; Metazoa; Arthropoda; Insecta; Psocodea; Philopteridae. The record is from RNAcentral.
UCGUGACUAACUUCCAUAAACUGAUUAAGACAUAUAUAUCUGAAAAGUUCAGUCAUAUGGCGGUUCUGUGUCUAACUAGAGAAACAUGUUUAUUAGUACGAUAGUACACGAACAUCUUACUUAUAAUUACCUUACACACCGUCGUCGGAAGAGCUGUAUGGGAAUAUAGUUCUUAUACUUAAUUUAGUAUUAAGUCAGAUCAAGGCGUAGGAUCAUUUAUAAGAUUAAAUGUGUCUCGUUGAGUUUAUUAUGAAUUAAUUUUGAGAGACCUAUAUAUGAAAAAGAAUCUAGAAGUAAUAGAAUUCAUUAAACUUCUAUGAAAUUAGCUACGCACUAUGU